GCCUUACACAUGCAAGUCGAACGGCAGCACGGAGCAACCUGGUGGCGAGUGGCGAACGGAUGAGUAAUAUAUCGGAACGUACCCUGGAGUGGAGGAUAACGUAGCGAAAGUUACGCUAAUACCGCAUACGAUCUAAGGAUGAAAGUGGGGGCUUCGCAAGAACCUCAUGCUCCUGGAGCGGCCGAUAUCUGAUUAGCUAGUUGGUGGGGUAAAGGCCCACCAAGGCUUCGAUCAGUAGCUGGUCUGAGAGGACGACCAGCCACACUGGAACUGAGACACGGUCCAGACUCCUACGGGAGGCAGCAGUGGGGAAUUUUGGACAAUGGGCGCAAGCCUGAUCCAGCAAUGCCGCGUGAGUGAAGAAGGCCUUCGGGUUGUAAAGCUCUUUUGUCAGGGAAGAAACGGUGAGGGCUAAUAUCCCUUGCUAAUGACGGUACCUGAAGAAUAAGCACCGGCUAACUACGUGCCAGCAGCCGCGGUAAUACGUAGGGUGCAAGCGUUAAUCGGAAUUACUGGGCGUAAAGCGUGCGCAGGCGGUUUUGUAAGUUUGUCGUGAAAGCCCCGGGCUCAACCUGGGAAUUGCGAUGAAGACUGCAAGGCUUGAAUCUGGCAGAGGGGGGUAGAAUUCCACGUGUAGCAGUGAAAUGCGUAGAGAUGUGGAGGAACACCGAUGGCGAAGGCAGCCCCCUGGGUCAAGAUUGACGCUCAUGCACGAAAGCGUGGGGAGCAAACAGGAUUAGAUACCCUGGUAGUCCACGCCCUAAACGAUGUCAACUAGUUGUUGGGGAUUCAUUUCCUUAGUAACGUAGCUAACGCGUGAAGUUGACCGCCUGGGGAGUACGGUCGCAAGAUUAAAACUCAAAAGAAUUGACGG
RNAcentral lists this ribosomal RNA (874 nucleotides) under uncultured bacterium. RNAcentral describes it as "bacterial SSU rRNA". It matches the Rfam family "Bacterial small subunit ribosomal RNA", at positions 46 to 916 of the family's 1533-position model. The record is from RNAcentral.